This 398-nucleotide ribosomal RNA is filed under the name uncultured bacterium. RNAcentral's name for it is "partial 16S ribosomal RNA". It matches the Rfam family "Bacterial small subunit ribosomal RNA", at positions 523 to 918 of the family's 1533-position model. The record is from RNAcentral.
AUACGUAGGGUGCGAGCGUUGUCCGGAAUUACUGGGCGUAAAGAGCUCGUAGGUGGUUUGUCGCGUCGUCUGUGAAAUUCCGGGGCUUAACUCCGGGCGUGCAGGCGAUACGGGCAUAACUUGAGUACCGUAGGGGAGACUGGAAUUCCUGGUGUAGCGGUGAAAUGCGCAGAUAUCAGGAGGAACACCGGUGGCGAAGGCGGGUCUCGGGUCAGUAACUGACGCUGAGGAGCGAAAGCAUGGGGAGCGAACAGGAUUAGAUACCCUGGUAGUCCAUGCCGUAAACGGUGGGCGCUAGGUGUAGGGGUCUUCCACGACUUCUGUGCCGUAGCUAACGCAUUAAGCGCCCCGCCUGGGGAGUACGGCCGCAAGGCUAAAACUCAAAGGAAUUGACGGGG